RNAcentral lists this transfer RNA (76 nucleotides) under Pusillimonas sp. TS35. Its description in RNAcentral is "tRNA-Thr". It matches the Rfam family "tRNA". From Rfam's summary of the family: Transfer RNA (tRNA) molecules are approximately 80 nucleotides in length. Their secondary structure includes four short double-helical elements and three loops (D, anti-codon, and T loops). Further hydrogen bonds mediate the characteristic L-shaped molecular structure. tRNAs have two regions of fundamental functional importance: the anti-codon, which is responsible for specific mRNA codon recognition, and the 3' end, to which the tRNAs corresponding amino acid is attached (by aminoacyl-tRNA synthetases). tRNAs cope with the degeneracy of the genetic code in two manners: having more than one tRNA (with a specific anti-codon) for a particular amino acid; and 'wobble' base-pairing, i.e. permitting non-standard base-pairing at the 3rd anti-codon position. Lineage: Bacteria; Pseudomonadati; Pseudomonadota; Betaproteobacteria; Burkholderiales; Alcaligenaceae. The record is from RNAcentral.
GCCGGUGUAGCUCAGCUGGUAGAGCAGCGCAUUCGUAAUGCGAAGGUCGGAAGUUCGAAUCUUCUCUCCGGCACCA